CAUUGUCUUCAGGUGUGGAAGGCUGUCGAAGUGCCGAGGGCCAACGGGAAUAAUCAAGUAAAAACAGAAUUUCUUCCAUAUGCUCUCGAUUCUUCCACAUGUUCUCGUCAAUUUUAUGAACAGGCUGGCGGUCCGCUUCUUCCACUAAUAGCCUUUCGCCUUGUGAGGAAGGAAAGUCUUUGAGCAAAUCAGAGGCCAAGGAGCGAAUCUCAGAGGAAAGACG
RNAcentral lists this unclassified non-coding RNA (223 nucleotides) under Hevea brasiliensis (rubber tree). Lineage: Eukaryota; Viridiplantae; Streptophyta; Magnoliopsida; Malpighiales; Euphorbiaceae. The record is from RNAcentral.